UCAUCCGGUCCAGCUACCAUUAAACGUUAGUUGGCAAAACAUUAAGGGGAUGGAGCUGAAGUGUCUCUACCAGAACCAAGGAUAUGUGGGAACGCUUGUUUGAUGAACGCUAUAAAGAAGAUAAUUAUAAUUCAUACAGACAAGGGUGGCUCCAUAUAUGCCCAUGCCAGUAUUCUUGCAAGACAUUUGCUUCUGAUAGUUAAUCAGUAACCUGUCUGAAUCAAAAGAAACGGGGUUCAUUAAUUAUUCUUCAACUGAAUAUUUUCUUCCUUCAGGACAUGGCUUCUCCUGUCAUGAAAGGCAGGUUACAGCAAGCAAAAGGCCGUGGUCGACAACGAUCAAUCUCAAUUCAGGGUGUUCCUCAUGAUGCUGUUCCUGAUGAAAGGGAAGAAUUUGUUUAAUUUGCUGGUGUUCUCGCAUGUGUUUGUUGAUUCCAGAGUUGAAGAAAAUCUGCAUGCGCAAGUUAGAGCAAGGUUUUCUUACCACCUGAAACGUAGUUGACGUCUUUCUGCUUGCAUUAUUGUGUGAUGCUCUUAGGCUUUGCCUCAAAUUUCCACUGCCUAAGGGUGGACAGUGAUGAAGCAGAGCCACCCUGUGCUCGAAAAGGAACUUCUUGAUUCCUUUGUUGAUGUAGACAAACCAAAGUAUCACAUGCUUCAAGAGAAGGCUCUUGUUCAUAUAUGCAGAGAUGAUUGCAGAACAAUUGGACGACAUGAUAAAGAUUUCAGAAAGACUCAAGCACCUUGCCCUUAUUCAGCAUGCAACAGACUAGGAUUUCUGAUCCGCCAUUUCGCAGGUUGCAGGUGGAGAAUAUCUGAAGGUUGCGUUCAUUGCAAGAGAAUGUGCAGCUGUUAGAGCUAGGCUCUCGUCUCUGCGCUGAUUCCAACAUGUGCAGAGCUCCUCAUAGGUGCAUGUAGGCCUUCAGUUACAGUAGUUGGUUUUGAUCCUGAGUGUUCUGCAUUUGAGACUUCAACUAAAAAGCUUAAGCAAAUUUUGUUAUUUUUAGGAAUUUCUAGAUGAGGAUCAGGACGCAAAGCAAGAAGGAUAAGAUCAAGCGGCGAGUACUAGUGACAAAGAACUUUGAACAAAGAGAAUUGGGAGUCUCCACUCUUUUCAUCUGCAGUUUCUUGAUAAAAAAAAAAAAAAAAACAGCAAAAUGUUUUUCCAUAAAUAAUUUGGUUUUAUUUGCCUAUUUUUCCUAGAAUAUUAGAGCUUUGCACUGAAUCUUGCCACCGACACUCCCUGUAUUAGAAAAGUUUUGUUGGCAGAUGCAUAUGAAACUUGAAGUAGCAAAUCCCAAUUAAGAGGAGGAAAUAGUGCCACUUGUGGAAAGAUGUCAAGUUGAAAUGCUGGUAGCUGGUAGCUGGUGGCUGGUGGACCUCUUGCUGAUGAAUAUACCUGGGUGAUAUUUUUGUUGAGAAGUAUUUGAGAAGGUCAGCUUCAUUCAUUUAAUGAUGUUGACCCACAGUUGCAACACCCAACACUCGGAAACAGAAUAGCUAAUAUCCUAUGGUUUUCUCACUUUUCCUUCAUUUUCUCUGCAGCCAAACAAAGGGCUUUAGUGGCUUAGGCUACUUAACCAAGAAUUAGAUUUUAAGCAAGAGGAAUUGUUGAGUGAAAUGGGCUUAUGUAUUUCUUAUUUAUUUGGGGAAGAACCAUUUUAAAUUUCAUCACAUCUAUGAGCUACACAACAAAAGCAAUUCAUUAUAUUGGCAAAUGAAAAAAACUAAAACCAAAGACUCUCCAAAGCCAAUUCACUACACAACAAAAGCAAUUCAGUUUACACUUUAUCAAGAUUUUUUUAAUCAU
Molecule: long non-coding RNA, 1809 nt
Organism: Manihot esculenta (cassava)
Lineage: Eukaryota; Viridiplantae; Streptophyta; Magnoliopsida; Malpighiales; Euphorbiaceae
Exons: 3
Source: RefSeq, a predicted model, not a curated record